CCUCUUCGGAGGCAGUGGCAGACGGGUGAGUAACGCGUGGGAACAUACCUUUCGGUACGGAACAACAGUUGGAAACGACUGCUAAUACCGUAUACGCCCUGAGGGGGAAAGAUUUAUCGCCGAGAGAUUGGCCCGCGUUGGAUUAGCUAGUUGGUGGGGUAAUGGCCUACCAAGGCGACGAUCCAUAGCUGGUCUGAGAGGAUGAUCAGCCACACUGGGACUGAGACACGGCCCAGACUCCUACGGGAGGCAGCAGUGGGGAAUAUUGGACAAUGGGCGCAAGCCUGAUCCAGCCAUGCCGCGUGAGUGAUGAAGGCCUUAGGGUUG
RNAcentral lists this ribosomal RNA (327 nucleotides) under uncultured Stappia sp. RNAcentral's name for it is "bacterial SSU rRNA". It matches the Rfam family "Bacterial small subunit ribosomal RNA", at positions 72 to 425 of the family's 1533-position model. The record is from RNAcentral. Lineage: Bacteria; Pseudomonadati; Pseudomonadota; Alphaproteobacteria; Hyphomicrobiales; Stappiaceae.